Molecule: ribosomal RNA, 468 nt
Filed under: uncultured bacterium
Lineage: Bacteria
Description: partial 16S ribosomal RNA
Rfam family: Bacterial small subunit ribosomal RNA
Source: RNAcentral
GACGAACGCUGGCGGCGUGCUUAACGCAUGCAAGUCGAACGGAAAGGCCCUGCUUUUGUGGGGUGCUCGAGUGGCGAACGGGUGAGUAACACGUGAGUAACCUGCCCUUGACUUUGGGAUAACUUCAGGAAACUGGGGCUAAUACCGGAUAGGAGCUCCUGCUGCAUGGUGGGGGUUGGAAAGUUUCGGCGGUUGGGGAUGGACUCGCGGCUUAUCAGCUUGUUGGUGGGGUAGUGGCUUACCAAGGCUUUGACGGGUAGCCGGCCUGAGAGAGUGACCGGCCACAUUGGGACUGAGAUACGGCCCAGACUCCUACGGGAGGCAGCAGUGGGGAAUAUUGCACAAUGGGCGGAAGCCUGAUGCAGCAACGCCGCGUGCGGGAUGACGGCCUUCGGGUUGUAAACCGCUUUCGCCUGUGACGAAGCGUGAGUGACGGUAAUGGGUAAAGAAGCACCGGCUAACUACGUG